AGAGUUUGAGUCCUGGCUCAGGAUGAACGCUGGCGGCGUGCCUAAUACAUGCAAGUCGUACGAGGGAAGUCCAGCUUGCUGGACGGAACGAGUGGCGAACGGGUGAGUAAUACGUAAGCAACCUGCCUAGCAAGGACUGGGAUAACACCUGGAAACGGGCGCUAAUACCGGAUAGGUAACAAAGGGGCAUCCCUAUGUUAUUAAAGGUUAGAAACACAAGCAGAUGGGCUUACGGUGCAUUAGCUAGUUGGUGAGGUAACGGCCCACCAAGGCGAUGAUGCAUAGCCGGCCUGAGAGGGUGAACGGCCACAUUGGGACUGAGACACGGCCCAGACUCCUACGGGAGGCAGCAGUAGGGAAUUUUCGGCAAUGGACGAAAGUCUGACCGAGCAACGCCGCGUGAAGUGAAGAAGGUUUUCGGAUUGUAAAGCUCUGUUGUAAGGGAAGAACAGCACGGAAAGAAUCCGUGAAUGACGGUACCUUACCAGAAAGCCACGGCUAACUACGUGCCAGCAGCUGC
This 520-nucleotide ribosomal RNA is filed under the name uncultured bacterium. RNAcentral's name for it is "bacterial SSU rRNA". It matches the Rfam family "Bacterial small subunit ribosomal RNA", at positions 8 to 518 of the family's 1533-position model. The record is from RNAcentral.